GACAGAGGAUGCAAGCGUUAUCCGGAAUGAUUGGGCGUAAAGCGUCUGUAGGUGGCUUUUCAAGUCCGCCGUCAAAUCCCAGGGCUCAACCCUGGACAGGCGGUGGAAACUACCAAGCUGGAGUACGGUAGGGGCAGAGGGAAUUUCCGGUGGAGCGGUGAAAUGCGUAGAUAUCGUCUGGAACGCCAAAGGUGAAAACAGACUGCUGGGGCUGUGCUGACGCUGAGACACGAAAGCCAGGGGAGCGAACGGG
RNAcentral lists this ribosomal RNA (253 nucleotides) under uncultured bacterium. RNAcentral describes it as "partial 16S ribosomal RNA". It matches the Rfam family "Bacterial small subunit ribosomal RNA", at positions 524 to 776 of the family's 1533-position model. The record is from RNAcentral.